Molecule: ribosomal RNA, 403 nt
Filed under: Fusobacteriota bacterium
Lineage: Bacteria; Fusobacteriati; Fusobacteriota
Description: Fusobacteria bacterium partial 16S ribosomal RNA
Rfam family: Bacterial small subunit ribosomal RNA
Source: RNAcentral
UGGGGAAUAUUGCACAAUGGAGGGAACUCUGAUGCAGCGACGCCGCGUGAACGAAGAAGGCUUUCGAGUCGUAAAGUUCUUCUAUAUGGGAAGAUAAUGACGGUACCAUAAGAAAAAGCCCCGGCUAACUACGUGCCAGCAGCCGCGGUAAUACGUAGGGGGCUAGCGUUGUCCGGAAUCACUGGGCGUAAAUGGUUCGCAGGCGGAAAUGCAAGUCAGGUGUAAAAGGCAGUAGCUUAACUACUGUAAGCAUUUGAAACUGCAUAUCUUGAGAAGAGUAGAGGUAAGUGGAAUUUUUCGUGUAGCGGUGAAAUGCGUAGAUAUUAAAAAGAAUACCGGUGGCGAAUGCGACUUACUGGGCUCAUUCUGACACUGAGUAACGAAAGCGUGGGUAGCAAACAGG